GCACCCAUGGCGGAAUUGGUAGACGCAAGGGACUUAAAAUCCCUCGAUCCUUGAUCGUGCCGGUUCGAUUCCGGCUGGGUGCACCA
RNAcentral lists this transfer RNA (86 nucleotides) under Allopusillimonas ginsengisoli. RNAcentral describes it as "Pusillimonas ginsengisoli tRNA-Leu". It matches the Rfam family "tRNA". Rfam says of the family: Transfer RNA (tRNA) molecules are approximately 80 nucleotides in length. Their secondary structure includes four short double-helical elements and three loops (D, anti-codon, and T loops). Lineage: Bacteria; Pseudomonadati; Pseudomonadota; Betaproteobacteria; Burkholderiales; Alcaligenaceae. The record is from RNAcentral.